Molecule: long non-coding RNA, 645 nt
Organism: Choloepus didactylus (southern two-toed sloth)
Lineage: Eukaryota; Metazoa; Chordata; Mammalia; Pilosa; Megalonychidae
Exons: 3
Source: RefSeq, a predicted model, not a curated record
CGCUUGAAGCCUUCACUGCUUCCUGUGAGUGUCGCACGAACAUCCUCGCCGGCAUGCUGGGAGUUGUAGUUCUCGGGAUGGACUCUCGCCUUAGCCCUCAACUGAAGUCUCUGACCCGAGGCAGGACGAAAGAGCCCCAGAUGCUUCUACUCCUGAGUCUCCGGAAUGCGCAGUUUGAAUUUGGGAAAUUUGAUUUAACUCUGUGGACACAACUUGUGCAUAAUUUGCAAAGGCCCCUCUGCUGUCCAAGACAGUAGGCAUCUUUGAUACAAAGGUUAUAAGAGUCCUUGCUCUGGGGGAAGCUAGCUGCCUUGGGAGGAGCUUGAGGGAGAGCUCCACGUGGCAAGGAGCUGAUGCCUUCAGCCAACAGCCAGCAAGGACCUGAGUCCUGCCAGCAAUCAUGUGAACAGACAGAGAGAAAGCCAAGGAAGGAAGAAGCUGAACAUCAGUGGAACCUGGAGGAGAAGGGAGAGACCAGGAGACGCUACCAUGUGCCUUGCCCUGUGACCAGCUAGAGACCCAGAGGUGCCAGCAGCCAGCCCCAGCACUUCAGAGUCUAUCGGAAGAAAACAUCGCCUUGAUGACGCCUUGAUUUGUACUUUUUCCCAGUCUCAAACCAUGAGCGAAUAAAUCCUCGUUGUUUAA